Molecule: long non-coding RNA, 1908 nt
Organism: Pygocentrus nattereri (red-bellied piranha)
Lineage: Eukaryota; Metazoa; Chordata; Actinopteri; Characiformes; Serrasalmidae
Source: Ensembl
AGAGAACACCACUCCAAACCAGCGUGUCCAGGUCACAUCUUCUCCUAAAAGAUGAACAUCCUAAAGGAUUUCUUUCUCCGUCUUAAAGGAGAGAUACUGAAGUCUCCUCUCUAUACUUCGAUUCCUUUCAGCUUCAUCCUGAUGGGAGUGGAAAAGGUGAUGGAGUUUGAGUUUUCUUGCCCCUGCAUACCUGCUGUGAACGCUUGGUUUGCAUUCUUCAUGUUCAUUAGUCCUGCUCUGUUGGCCUUCACCAUAAUGAGGUAUCUCACAAAUCCAUCGGGACACGGUUUUUGGAGGAAUUUAUUUUAUUGCCUGAUGCCAUCAGCGGUCUGGAUUAUUAUGUUAUUUUUGGAUGGUCACUAUGUGGCCUGUGGGAUGACCAACUGGGAAGGAAACUAUGUCUUGGAUGAGGGAAAGCCUCCUAUGAAAUGGUGUGAAUUUAAUACUACUCAGGAAUCAACGGAGAAAUAUUUAUCUCAGCUACAUUUUGCACAGUCACAGAUUGCAGGUUUUGGUCUGUUGUCUUUCAGCUGUGCUUUGGCCCUGUUUUAUCUGUGGCGACGAGACCCCCAGGACCCCCCAGUACGACCCCCAGAGUUUGAAGCUGCCCUGGGUUUGGAUGAUUAAACAGGCUUUUGUUCAAUCAUUCAGUGAUGAUGUUCAGCUUAGUGUAGUACUUUCAGGUAAUGUGAUACAUUUGCUUUCAUACAAAAUGCAUAAAGAAGUGCCAAAUGUUGUCAUUAGAUUUAUUAAAGUAAAAAACGCUGCUUCAGUAAAAUAGUCGAAAAUAUACAACAAUAAGCAGGACUGGGAAAGAAAACUAAAGGCUAGGCUGCAUGUAAAGUGUUUGGGGCUCCUUCAGUUGUUUGGUUUGAGUUACAGGCUGUUUUCUUCAACAUCAACAAUCUUUCCUUUAUCAUCUCCCUCGAAAGCAAAGCUGUGCAGGUUCUGCUGAUUUUCUUCUUUACUAGCAUUUCAAUGCCUGUAAUGUUGUAUGGCUCUUGUGUUUAUGUUCCUAAGUCUUCAACGUGGAGCCAAUUUCAGCUACAAUCUUAAAAACGAUGGCUCUUCUUGGUUCUUUGGUAAAGAACGUGCUUCUAUAUACAGUCUCAAAAAAGAUGGUUCUUUUGGAUUCUUUAGUAAAGACAGUGGUUAUAUGUAGAAUUGUUGGCAUGAAAGAGCCUUUUUCAUGAUUAAAGGGUUCUUUGCUCUUCAGAUUGAUGGAGAAUGCACCACAGGAGCGCCACAGGAGGUCAUUCUUACUCUAUACUGUGGCCAUCAAACUCUAUAACUCCUCCCUCAGUGUGUGAUUAUCAAUACCUAACGGUUCAUAUGUGUAAUAAUAAUAACUGUGUGCAAAAACUCAGAGGGGCAGUAAUUUGAAGUGCUUUAUGCUGGAUGUUUCAUAUUUAUUAUCACAGUCACUUUACUGUAUUCAUAAGAGCUUAAAUCUCAUGUACAAUAUUGCAAAUUUCUCUUUGUUUUAAAUUAUUAAAGUGUUUAUUCUUUCUGUAACAACUGCGCUUUCCCUCUGGGAUCAAUAAAGGAUUCUGAUUCUGAUUCUGAUAUGGUUCUACGUAGCAACAAAAGGGUUCUUGCAUUGCUACAAGACUGACAUUGAAACAGUAGAAGGAACUGAAGAAGAACCAUUUUCAAAAAGAGUUGUUCUAGAACCAUAUAACGCACAUUCUCCAUCAAUCAAACAGAAGAGCUGUUUCACAGUGCAAAGAACCCUUUAAUUAUGCAAAUAGGCUGUUUAGGGUUCUAUAAAGAACCAUUUUUUUACUAAAGAACCAUCGUUAUUAAGUGUGACCACUGUAGUGUAUAAAACUACUUGGGUUCAUUGUUUUGAUUGUAUUUUUUACCUCGACUUGGUGCCAAAGUGCUGUUAAAUGAUUUUCUGCCAAU